Molecule: ribosomal RNA, 440 nt
Filed under: uncultured bacterium
Lineage: Bacteria
Description: bacterial SSU rRNA
Rfam family: Bacterial small subunit ribosomal RNA
Source: RNAcentral
CCUACGGGGGGCUGCAGUAACGAAUCUUCCCCAAUGCACGAAAGUGUGAGGGAGCGACGCCGCGUGCGGGACGAAGUCCUUCGGGAUGUAAACCGCUGUCAGGGGUUACCAAGUUCUGAGGAGCCCCAGAGGAAGUGGCGGCUAACUCUGUGCCAGCAGCCGCGGUAAGACAGAGGCCACGAGCGUUAGGCGGAAUCACUGGGCUUAAAGCGUGUGUAGGCGGACCGUUAAGUGCCCGCGUGAAAUCCCCCGGCUCAACCGGGGAACGGCCGGGCAUACUGGCGGUCUUGAGCGGUCCAGGGGUCAUCGGAACAAACGGUGGAGCGGUGAAAUGCGUAGAUAUCGUUUGGAACGCCGACGGUGAAAACAGAUGACUGGGGACCCGCUGACGCUGAGACACGAAAGCCAGGGGAGCAAACGGGAUUAGAUACCCUGGUAGU